UAAAGACAGAAGCAGAUGCCUGUGUAGACAGUUUAAGAACCCACGGUGUAUUUGAGGAAGGAAAGAAAUAACCUGGUAUUAGAAGUAACUUUCCUGGCUGGAGAUUGCAGAUCCCAGCUGGAGGAACAAUGAAGACACUUAUUGGAAUGUUCCUGUUCUUGUGGCUGCAGCUGGACUGGUUGAGUAGAGGAGAAGAGAUACAGCAGCACCCUUCUUUCUUGACUGUCCGGGAGGGAGGCAGCUUUGUUAUCAACUGCACUUACACAGACAGUGCCUCCGACUACUUCUUUUGGUACAAGCAAGAACCUGGAAAAGGCCUCCAGUUGCUUAUAUAUACUCUUUCAAAUGUGGUCAAGAAACAAGAACAAAGACUCACCGUCCUAUUUAAUAAGAAGGACAAGCAUCUUUCCCUGCAAGACACAGCCACCCAUCCUAGGGACUCGGCCACCUACUUCUGUGCAACAAGAGCACAGUGGUCUCCAGGCACCUGCAGCCUGCCCCCAAACCUAAGACUGGGGUGGAAGCCCCACUCUUUUUCCCUUUGUCACCAGCCUUCAAGCCAGAGAUUUUGCCAUAUUCCAUCUUAAAUAAACAUUCUUUUAAAAAAAUAUAUAUAUGUAUAAAUAUUCUAAAUGAUCUUAAAGAAUGUCAGUUUCAGAAUGACCCAAUAAGUGUAAGAACAUUUGGAAUGAACACUUAAGGGAGUUAGUGAUUUCUUAGUUAAGUAUCUGGGCUUUAAGGUUCAUGUUUUGGGUACUGUUCAGAGUUACACUUUACAAAGGACAAUGUCAGGGAGUACUCUUCUUGAUGGAAAGAUUUUUUACCUUUUAUUUGUUUAAAAAGAUUUUAUUUAUUUAUUUGACAGAGCGAGAGAGAGAUCACAAGUAGGCAGAGAGGCAGGCAGAGAGAGAUGGGGAAGCAGGCUCCCUGCUAAGCAGAGAGACCAAUCCGGGGCUCAAUCCCAGGAGACCAAUGCGGGGCUCGAUCCCAGGACCCUGGGUUCAUGACCUGAACUGAAGACAGAGGCUUUAACCCACAGAGCCAUCCAGGCGCCCUGGUUUUUUACCUUUUAAUAAUAGCAUUCAUUAACUUUUUCUGAUUAUAGAAAUAUUAACUCCACGUUAUAGGAGGAAAACGAAGAAUAUAUAUAUAAUAGGAAGUUCAAACAUAACGCUAUUAUCCAGAUAAAUCAUGGCUAACAUCUGGUAUACCUUCUUUAUUAAACUCUUGUUAAAGAUUAUAAGCACACAUGGGGCGCCUGGGUGGCUCAGUGGGUUAAGCCUCUGCCUUCAGCUCAGGUCAUGAUCUCAGGGUUCCGGGAUCGAGCCCCGCAUCGGGCUCUCUGCUUGGCGGUGAGCCUGCUUCCUCCUCUCUCUGCCUGCCUCUCUGCCUGCUUGUGAUCUCUCUCUCUCUCUGUCAAAUAAAUAAAUAAAAUAUUAAAAAAAAAGAUUAGAAGCACGCAGACUGGUAUUUGAACUUACUUCCACUUAACAUUAUAUCAUAAUCUGAGCAUUCACGUUUAUCAAAUCUUAAGAAAUUGAACUUUUAAUGAUUUUAUGAGUGAUUUUAUGUCACCAUUUUAUUUCUUCUUUAAUCAUUCCCUUAUAUUUGUGGGAAUGAUUAAAUACUUUUCUUAAUUCAAAUGUUACCCUUUAAAUAGCUUGUUAUAUGUGGUAGCCAAUAAUAAUAAUACCAAUAUAAAUGAUAGUAAUAACUAGUACAAAGACAGUGGAAAAACAAGGAAUGGACUUGAAUAUGAAAGACUUUGAAUAAAACAAAAGAGGAAUUCUAAAUUAUGGGGAAGAACAGGAUUAUCCUCAAAUUCUGUUGAAUCAAUUGUUCAGAUAAGAGGUUCUCAUACUCUCUCCUGAAGCAUCCCUACAGGGGAGGGCCACCAAACAUGACCUUUUCCUUCUUGAAAUCUGGAUGUGUGGGCAGAGUCGCCCAAAGUAGUCUGAUGAAAGUACAAACAAUCUCAUGUUUACUUUAAAAUUUUUGAGUUAUCAUCUUUAUUUUGCUGCAUUAUAUAUCCAUGUUAAUUUUAACGCGACAUAAUCUUGUAAAUAAUUUACCUAUUCUCCAAUUUUUCAGUAAUAAAAGUGCUCCUAGCUGAUGCAUGAUAUUUAUUACAUUUUAUCUUGAGGCAAGAGUACUCUAAUUUGAAAAGCACAAAGUUGACUAUUUGAAAAUGAAAGUGUUGCAAAAUCAAUAGGCAAUCAAUAAAUAUUGCUUGGGCAAAUAAAUGAAGUACCUCACAUGAUGAAAUAAAUUCCAGAGAGAUUAAAGUAAUUAAAUCAAGAGUUGUUAGUAAAAAAUAUAAAUGUGUGUUAGUCAACAAACUGAAGAAGAAUUUUCUAAACUUAAGAACAGUGAAUGAAAUCAUGGGAAAAAUAGAAUAAUUAAUUACAUAAAUAUUAAAAACUAAUUUAUUACAUGAAAAAAAUGACCAAAAUUACAUUCAAACCAGUUUACUGAUAACUUGCUGUUAAUCUCACAAAAGAUUAAUAAUUCUUCUGCAUAAUUUCUAUAUGCUUAAAAAGGAAAACAUUAAUAUCGAAAUAGGUAAAUAUACAGAAGAUGUGAUGAGGACACUUGCACAGGAAAAAAAUAAAUGGUUCAAAACACAUGGAAAAUGUUUAAACCCACUGGUAUUCUUAAAAAUGUAUAGAAAUAACUUUAAAAAAACAUUAGGGAGUUGUAGGAAUAAUUUAAUAGCAAUAUUAAAGAACAGAGAAUUUGAGCAAAAUGUUGUGAAAUAAACAUACACUAGUGGGAGAAUAACUUUGUAAGCUAUUUUGGAAAGUAAUUAAAAAACAUGACUUAGUAAAAACCA
Molecule: non-coding RNA, 2833 nt
Organism: Mustela lutreola (European mink)
Lineage: Eukaryota; Metazoa; Chordata; Mammalia; Carnivora; Mustelidae
Source: the annotation of a RefSeq genome assembly